UUUAGUCGAUGCGGGACGUUGAAC
RNAcentral lists this non-coding RNA (24 nucleotides) under Arabidopsis thaliana (thale cress). The record is from RNAcentral. Lineage: Eukaryota; Viridiplantae; Streptophyta; Magnoliopsida; Brassicales; Brassicaceae.